RNAcentral lists this ribosomal RNA (846 nucleotides) under uncultured Anaerolineae bacterium. RNAcentral describes it as "bacterial SSU rRNA". It matches the Rfam family "Bacterial small subunit ribosomal RNA", at positions 27 to 896 of the family's 1533-position model. The record is from RNAcentral. Lineage: Bacteria; Bacillati; Chloroflexota; Anaerolineae.
GGAUGAACGCUGGCGGCGUGCCUAAUACAUGCAAGUCGAACGGGUGUAGCAAUACAUUAGUGGCGAACGGGUGAGUAACACGUUGGUGACCUGCCCUAAAGAGGGGAAUACCACUUCGAAAGGAGUGACAAAACCGCAUGCGCUUUUGGAAGUUAGAGAACCAAAAGGAAAAGUGAAAACUACUUUAGGAGGGGCCUGCGGCCCAUCAGCUAGUUGGUGAGGGUAAAAGCCCACCAAGGCGAAGACGGGUAGGGGACCUGAGAGGGUGAUCCCCCACAAUGGAACUGAAACACGGUCCAUACACCUGCGGGUGGCAGCAGUAGGGAAUAUUGCUUAAUGGGCGAAAGCCUGAAGCAGCAACGCCGCGUGAACGAAGAAGGCCUUCGGGUCGUAAAGUUCUUUUAGGUGGGAUGAGGAAGGACAGUACCACCAGAAUAAGUCUCGGCUAACUACGUGCCAGCAGCCGCGGUAAAACGUAGGAGACGAGCGUUAUCCGGAUUUACUGGGCGUAAAGAGCGUGUAGGAGGCAGUGCAAGUUGGAUGUGAAAGCUCCCGGCUUAACUGGGAGAGGUCGUUCAAAACUGUGCAGCUAGAGGAAGGCAGAGGUAGACGGAACUCCGGGAGUAGUGGUGAAAUGCGUAGAUAUCCGGAAGAACACCAGAGGCGAAGGCGGUCUACUGGGCCUUAACUGACACUGAGACGCGAAAGCCAGGGUAGCAAACGGGAUUAGAGACCCCGGUAGUCCUGGCCGUAAACGAUGCAGACUGGGCGUUUAUGGGGUAAAACCUGUGAGUGCUGAAGCAAACGCGAUAAGUCUGCCGCCUGGGGAGUACGGUCGCAAGAUUA